Corvus hawaiiensis (hawaiian crow) is the source of this 3490-nucleotide RNA transcript. It is a transcript of the gene named minichromosome maintenance 8 homologous recombination repair factor, with no coding region annotated. The transcript has 20 exons. The record is from RefSeq and is a predicted model, not a curated record. NCBI's taxonomy places the organism in Eukaryota, Metazoa, Chordata, Aves, Passeriformes, Corvidae.
CCGGGGGCGCGGGAGGCGCCGCUGAGGGCGGCGAUCGGCGGCGCGGCCCCGGGGCGCUUCAGCGGGGCUGCUCUGCGCCUUCCCCCGAGCCUGUGGUAGGGAGAGAAAGGCACAGCCUCCCGCGAGGCCCCCUCUGGAAAAUAGCGCUAAUUUAAAUCAAAUAUCUUCUGGGAAAAUUUGCUUCCUCGCCUCGGUUUGUUGUCGCGUCCCCAGACUGGCGCCGGCAGCCGCCGAUGAGCAGGGAUCUCAGAGGCAGGGGAUGCGCCCGGGGCAGAGGCUUCCCGGGGUGGCGAGGAGGAGGAUGGCGAGGCGGAGGAUGGCGAGGAGGAGGAUGGCGAGGCAGAGGACAGAAGGGAGAGCCCAAAAGGAUGCCCGAACCUGGAAAAUCUCGGCUAGUCCAAUCAACGAUGGACCAAUUUAUUCCCUAUAAGGGCUGGAAACUUUAUUUCUCUGAAGUUUACAAUGACAAGUCUCCUUUUGUCCAGAAGACUCAAGCGUUUGAAAAGUUUUUUAUGCAGCGCAUUGAGCUUUAUGAUAAGGAUGAAAUAGAAAGAAAAGGAAGCAUUCUCGUGGAUUAUAAGGAACUAAUCCAAGAUAGAGAACUGACUAAAUCGAUACCAAAUAUAUCUACUGAACUAAGGGAUAUGCCUCAGAAAAUACUGCAGUGUAUGGGCCUGGCAAUUCAUCAGGUGCUCACCAAGGACCUGGAAAGACACGCUGCGGAGCUGCAGGUGCAGGAGGGAUUGCCCCUGGAUGGGGAACCUAUCAUAAAUGUGCCUCUCAUCCAUGCCAGAGUGUACAACUAUGAGCCUCUAACCCAGCUGAAAAAUGUGAGGGCCAACUGCUACGGCAAAUACAUCUCCCUGCGUGGCACCGUGGUGAGGGUCAGCAACAUCAAACCCCUGUGCACCAACCUGGCCUUCGUCUGUGCCACCUGUGGGGAUGUGCAGGGGGUUCCUCUCCCUGAUGGGAAGUACACCCUUCCCACCAAGUGCCUUGUUCCCGAGUGCCGGGGCCGGUCCUUCACAGCCGACAGGAGCUCUCCUUUAACCACCACAGUGGACUGGCAGUCUGUCAAGGUGCAGGAGCUCAUGUCAGACGACCAGCGGGAAGCAGGACGGAUCCCGCGCACCAUCGAGUGUGAGCUGGUCCAGGACCUCGUGGACAGCUGUGUCCCAGGAGACAUGGUCACAAUCACAGGCAUAGUGAAGGUGUCAAGCACUGAGGAAGGAGCUUCUAAAAAUAAGAAUGACAAGUGUAUGUUCUUAUUGUACAUUGAGGCAAAUUCUGUCAGCAACAGUAAAGGACAAAAACUAAAGAAUUUUGAUGAUGAGACUUUUCAGAGAUCCUUCAUGGAGUUUUCCCUUAAAGACCUCUAUGCUAUCCAAGAAAUUCAAGCUGAGGAAAAUCUGUUCAGGCUCAUUGUGAACUCUCUUUGUCCUGCAAUCUAUGGCCACGAGAUUGUGAAGGCAGGUUUGGCCCUGGCCUUGUUUGGAGGAUGUCAGAAGUUUGUGGAUGACAAGAACAGAAUCCCAGUGCGAGGAGACCCACAUGUUCUGGUUGUUGGAGAUCCAGGAUUAGGAAAAAGUCAAAUGUUGCAAGCAGUGUGUAACAUCGCUCCUCGAGGUGUGUAUGUUUGUGGUAAUACUUCCACCAGCUCUGGCCUGACUGUUACACUGUCCAGAGAUGGCACUUCUGGAGAUUUUGCCUUGGAAGCUGGUGCCUUAGUGCUUGGAGAUCAAGGAAUUUGUGGAAUAGAUGAAUUUGAUAAGAUGGGAAACCAGCACCAGGCUUUGUUGGAAGCCAUGGAACAGCAGAGCAUCAGCCUGGCCAAGGCUGGCAUUGUCUGCAGUCUGCCAGCUCGGACAUCCAUUGUUGCUGCAGCAAACCCUGUUGGAGGACAUUAUAACAAAGCCAAAACAGUGUCUGAGAACUUAAAAAUGGGGAGUGCUCUGCUGUCAAGAUUUGAUCUGGUGUUCAUCCUGCUGGACACCCCGAACGAGGACCACGACCACCUGCUGUCCGAGCACGUGAUGGCCAUGCGGGCCGGCCGGCGCGCAGCCUGCAGCAGUGCCCUGGUGACCCGGGCCAGCUCCCAGGAGCACUCUGUCCUCCAGGCUACGUCAGACCGACCCCUGCUCGAGAGGCUGAAGAUCUCAGCAGGAGAAAACUUUGAUGCCAUUCCCCAUCAGCUGCUGAGGAAGUAUGUCGGAUAUGCUCGGCAGUACGUCCACCCAAACUUAUCUCCAGAGGCUGCACAAGUCCUCCAGGAAUUCUACCUCGAGCUCCGGAAACAGAACCAAGGAGCAGACAGCACCCCCAUCACCACGAGGCAGCUGGAGUCCCUGAUUCGACUGACAGAGGCACGAUCAAGGCUGGAAUUAAGAGAGAAGUCUACCAAGGAAGAUGCUGAGGAUGUAAUAGAGAUAAUGAAAUACAGCAUGCUGGGGACCUACUCGGAUGAGUUUGGCAAGCUGGACUUCGAGCGUUCCCAGCACGGGUCUGGGAUGAGCAAUCGGUCGCAGGCCAAGAGAUUCGUGUCUGCCCUGAACAGCAUUGCAGAGAGGACCUACAACAACCUCUUUGACCUGCAGCAGCUGCGGCACAUCGCCAAGGAGCUGCAGAUUCGGGUGUCUGAUUUCGAGAGCUUUAUUGGAUCCCUAAAUGAUCAGGGUUACCUUUUGAAAAAAGGUUCAAGAGUUUAUCAGCUUCAGACCAUGUGAGAAGAGUCACUGUGAUGAACUUCCUUCAGACCCAAUCGUUCCACUGGACUGAGGGACCUGCAGUGGGGAGGCACAUCCCGAGCUGAGCUGCACCUGGCACAGCCCUGGUGUUUGCUGGGGUGCAGAUACCCCUGAAGAAAAUAAAUUGGAAAGCUGCCACAGGACAAACUGACACAUGGUAUUGCUGCCUGGCUCAUCCUACAGGUCUGCCAUUCCAAAUGGGACUGUGCAGGGCUAUACUGCACCUCAUCAUCCUCGAGGAGUGGAAGAACAAUGUGUGCUCAGCACGAGUGAAGUGCUGAAUGCUUCCUGACUUUGAUGAAAUCAGAAUCAUGGUCUGGUGCAAUGAAAUGGCACGUGAGCAGCUUUCAGUGUAAGAUAUGAUGGAUCUAAAAAAGCAGAAACACUGAAGCUCAGUGCCUCAUCUUCUGGUUUAAGCGACAUCAGGGUCUGACGUGCACCAAGCUUCCACAGCCCUUGGGUACCAAAACACAAGCUUUGGAUGUCAAACAACAUGUCACACUUUUCAGUGCUGCCCAGCUGGGAACCUACCCCAAGGUACCAACCUACUUGAAACUGAAAACUGGUCUGAAGAUGAAAUGCUUUAAGUAUGAAAUUAUAGUUCUACAUCUGAGCUCUUAAGGGGCAAGGUCUGCUCUACCAACAAACUGGAAGCAGGUGUUAGAUACCGAUUUUAGCUUAGUACAGUGUUGGGGGAUAGGAACGCGCCUCAGGAGCAAAUAAAAGACUGCACCUGGAAAAGUAAA